This 41-nucleotide ribosomal RNA is filed under the name Salvator merianae (Argentine black and white tegu). Lineage: Eukaryota; Metazoa; Chordata; Lepidosauria; Squamata; Teiidae. The record is from RNAcentral.
CUUGUUUCGUAUUUGGAUGGGAUACCACCUGGGAAUACCAG